Molecule: ribosomal RNA, 542 nt
Filed under: uncultured eukaryote
Lineage: Eukaryota
Description: bacterial SSU rRNA
Rfam family: Eukaryotic small subunit ribosomal RNA
Source: RNAcentral
CGCCAGUAGUUAUAUGCUUGUCUCAAAGAUUAAGCCAUGCAUGUCUAAGUAUAAACAAUUUUAUACUGUGAAACUGCGUACAGCUCAUUAUAUCAGCAAUUAUUUAUUUGAUGGUACCUUACUACAUGGAUAACCGUAGUAAUUCUAGAGCUAAUACAUGCGUAAAAUCCCGACUCUCGCGGGGAGGGAUGUAUUUAUUAGAUUAAAAAUCAAUGCGGCCUUCGGGUCGGUUUCAUUGACGAAUCAUAGUAACUGUUCGAAUCGCAUGCUUCACGCUGGCGAUAGUUCAUUCAAAUUUCUGCCCUAUCAGCCUUCGACGGUAGUGUAGAGGACUACCGUGGCAUUAACGGGUGACGGAGAAUUAGGGUUCGAUUCCGGAGAGGGAGCCUUAAAAACGGCUACCACAUCUAAGGAAGGCAGCAGGCACGCAAAUUACCCAAUGACCGAAGGUCGAGGUAGUGACAAAAAAUAACGAUACGGGACUCAUCUGAGGCCCCGUAAUCGGAAUGAGUACACUUUAAAACCGUCCCCGAGGAUCUAUU